CAGAUUUGUAGACAUCAUUUCGGGAGGAACCACGGACAUCAAUGCAACGACAUUCCAGGAAUGUCUCAGCGCCUGCCAGAUUUCGAAUUGCUUAUCUUUCUAUUAUGGACAUGGGCAAUGUAAAGAGUACUCUGGCAGACUGUUUUCGAGUCAUGGAGAAGUGGUUGCUGGUUGGCGAUACUACGAGAGAACUAGAACUCUCGGCAACAUAGCCCUAUGAAAACCUACUACGGAGUCCUCAAUCGAGGCAACUACUCUAGAAGUGGACCUGUCUGCGGCCAGCGUUGUUGAUGGGAUGCGCUACCCAACCAGCUAUGCAAUCGGGAAGGCCUGCUUCAUAGGUUUGGGUGAAUCCAAUCCCUGGAUGAGUGUGGAUUUGCUCGAUGUUUAUUUCAUUCAGGAAGUUAUGAUAUUGACGAAGAGAGGAACAAAGUCAGCUUUUGAAGACGUCACUGUUCUUAUAAGGCUUACCACAGAAGAAUAUCACUGCAGUUCGUACGCCGGAGUCGCACCGCUCGAGACAGUCAUAACUUUGGUUUGUGAUAACUCGCUACAGGGUCGUCAUGUCAUACUUAGGAGCUAUUUGUCUGGUAAACGGUUUUCAGUAUGUGAAUUGGAAGUAUACGGACAUCUUUAACACAUAUUAGUUAAUAUCGGGGUGAAUAAUAGGUCAUCUGACCAAAAGGGUGAGGAUGAGCUAUAGUCAUCAUGCUUCAUCCGUUGGCGUGCGCCGUCCGCCGUGCGUAAACUUUUCACAUUUCAAACUUCUCAAAUUCCAAUAGUCGGAUUGAGCUGAAACAUGCCUGCAAUUCUCUUGAGAUAAUCCUGAGCAAGUGUUGUUAUUUUUCAAGUAGGUCAGAAAUCCAAGAUGGUCGCCAUGGCAGCCAUCUUGAAAAACAUUUUAAACUUCUUCCCCAGUUUCACUGGUGCCAUUGAGCUGGAAAUUGGAGAGGAUGUUAAGGACGGAAAGCCUACAAAGUGUUGUUAUUUUUCAGCCUCGUAAAAACUUUGACAUGGCAGCCACGGCGGCCAUUUUGUAACAUGAUUACACAAUCAUGGUUUUCCUGAACAACCCUAUUUCAAACUUCUUCUCAAAUUCCACCAGUGGAAUUCAGCUAUAACUUACCAGAAAGGAUCCUGAGAUGGUCCUGACCAAGUAUUGUUAUUCUGCAGAUCCGCCAGAAAUCAA
Molecule: long non-coding RNA, 1189 nt
Organism: Pecten maximus
Lineage: Eukaryota; Metazoa; Mollusca; Bivalvia; Pectinida; Pectinidae
Exons: 3
Source: RefSeq, a predicted model, not a curated record